GACGAACGCUGGCGGCGUGCUUAACACAUGCAAGUCGAACGGACAGGCCCUGCUUUUGUGGGGUGCUCGAGUGGCGAACGGGUGAGUAACACGUGAGUAACCUGCCCUUGACUUUGGGAUAACUUCAGGAAACUGGGGCCAAUACCGGAUAGGAGCUCCUGCUGCUUGGUGGGGGUUGGAAAGUUUCGGCGGUUGGGGAUGGACUCGCGGCUCAUCAGCUUGUUGGUGGGGUAGUGGCUUACCAAGGCUCUGACGGGUAGCCGGCCUGAUAGGGUGACCGGCCACAUUGGGACUGAAAUACGGCCCAGACUCCUACGGUAGGCAGCAGUGGGGAAUAUUGCACAGUGGGCUGAACCCUGAUGCAGCGACGCCGCGUGCGGGAUAACGUCCUUCGGGUUGGAAACCGCUUUCGCCUGUGACGAAGCGUGAGUGACGGUAAUGGGUAAAGAAGCACCGGCUAACUACGUG
Molecule: ribosomal RNA, 468 nt
Filed under: uncultured bacterium
Lineage: Bacteria
Description: partial 16S ribosomal RNA
Rfam family: Bacterial small subunit ribosomal RNA
Source: RNAcentral